RNAcentral lists this ribosomal RNA (460 nucleotides) under uncultured bacterium. RNAcentral's name for it is "partial 16S ribosomal RNA". It matches the Rfam family "Bacterial small subunit ribosomal RNA", at positions 338 to 795 of the family's 1533-position model. The record is from RNAcentral.
CCUACGGGGGGCAGCAGUGAGGAAUAUUGGUCAAUGGACGAGAGUCUGAACCAGCCAAGUAGCGUGAAGGAUGACUGCCCUAUGGGUUGUAAACUUCUUUUAUAUGGGAAUAAAACGUUCCACGUGUGGGAUUUUGUAUGUACCAUAUGAAUAAGGAUCGGCUAACUCCGUGCCAGCAGCCGCGGUAAUACGGAGGAUCCGAGCGUUAUCCGGAUUUAUUGGGUUUAAAGGGAGCGUAGGUGGAUUGUUAAGUCAGUUGUGAAAGUUUGCGGCUCAACCGUAAAAUUGCAGUUGAUACUGGCAGUCUUGAGUACAGUAGAGGUGGGCGGAAUUCGUGGUGUAGCGGUGAAAUGCUUAGAUAUCACGAAGAACUCCGAUUGCGAAGGCAGUUCACUGGACUGCAACUGACACUGAGGCUCGAAAGUGUGGGUAUCAAACAGGAUUAGAUACCCUGGUAGUC